GAGUGCGAAAGCAUGGGGAGCAAACAGGAUUAGAUACCCUGGUAGUCCAUGCCGUAAACGAUGUCAACUAGCCGUUGGGGGAUUUGAUCCUUUAGUGGCGCAGCUAACGCGAUAAGUUGACCGCCUGGGGAGUACGGUCGCAAGACUAAAACUCAAAUGAAUUGACGGGGGCCCGCACAAGCGGUGGAGCAUGUGGUUUAAUUCGAUGCAACGCGAAGAACCUUACCUGGUCUUGACAUAGUGAGAAUCUUUCAGAGAUGAGAGAGUGCCUUCGGGAAUUCACAUACAGGUGCUGCAUGGCUGUCGUCAGCUCGUGUCGUGAGAUGUUGGGUUAAGUCCCGCAACGAGCGCAACCCUUUUCCUUAUUUGCCAGCACUUUUAGGUGGGAACUCUAAGGAUACUGCCAGUGACAAACUGGAGGAAGGCGGGGACGACGUCAAGUCAUCAUGGCCCUUACGACCAGGGCUACACACGUGCUACAAUGGUCGGUACAAAGGGUUGCUACACAGCGAUGUGAUGCUAAUCUCAAAAAGCCGAUCGUAGUCCGGAUUGGAGUCUGCAACUCGACUCCAUGAAGUCGGAAUCGCU
This 588-nucleotide ribosomal RNA is filed under the name uncultured bacterium. RNAcentral's name for it is "bacterial SSU rRNA". It matches the Rfam family "Bacterial small subunit ribosomal RNA", at positions 749 to 1336 of the family's 1533-position model. The record is from RNAcentral.